RNAcentral lists this transfer RNA (91 nucleotides) under Streptomyces purpureus. RNAcentral describes it as "tRNA-Arg". The record is from RNAcentral. Lineage: Bacteria; Bacillati; Actinomycetota; Actinomycetes; Kitasatosporales; Streptomycetaceae.
GCGGCGGCGGGCGGCACGGCCGGGGCCGCCUGCGGCGCUACGGGCGCCGCCGCGGGCGCGCCCGCGUACGGGUUCUGUCCUGGCGGCGGCG